GAUGAACGCUGGCGGCGUGCCUAAUACAUGCAAGUCGAGCGAACAGACGAGGAGCUUGCUCCUCUGACGUUAGCGGCGGACGGGUGAGUAACACGUGGAUAACCUACCUAUAAGACUGGGAUAACUUCGGGAAACCGGAGCUAAUACCGGAUAAUAUAUUGAACCGCAUGGUUCAAUAGUGAAAGACGGCUUUUCUGUCUCUUAUAGAUGGAUCCGCGCCGCAUUAGCUAGUUGGUAAGGUAACGGCUUACCAAGGCAACGAUGCGUAGCCGACCUGAGAGGGUGAUCGGCCACACUGGAACUGAGACACGGUCCAGACUCCUACGGGAGGCAGCAGUAGGGAAUCUUCCGCAAAGGGCGAAAGCCUGACGGAGCAACGCCGCGUGAGUGAUGAAGGUCUUCGGAUCGUAAAACUCUGUUAUUAGGGAAGAACAAAUGUGUAAGUAACUAUGCACGUCUUGACGGUACCUAAUCAGAAAGCCACGGCUAACUACGUG
This 497-nucleotide ribosomal RNA is filed under the name uncultured bacterium. RNAcentral's name for it is "partial 16S ribosomal RNA". It matches the Rfam family "Bacterial small subunit ribosomal RNA", at positions 28 to 507 of the family's 1533-position model. The record is from RNAcentral.